AAAGUUUGAUCCUGGCUCASAUUGAACGCUGGCGGCAGGCCUAWCAUAUGCAAGUCGAACGCGAAAGUCCUUCGGGAUGAGUAGAGUGGCGGACGGGUGAGUAACGCGUAGGAAUCUGUCCGGUAGUGGGGGAUAACGUUCCGAAAGGAACGCUAAUACCGCAUACGCCCUACGGGGGAAAGCGGGGGAUCUUCGGACCUCGCGCUAUCGGAGGAGCCUGCGUCGGAUUAGCUAGUUGGUAGGGUAAAGGCCUACCAAGGCGACGAUCCGUAGCUGGUCUGAGAGGAUGAUCAGCCACACCGGAACUGAGACACGGUCCGGACUCCUACGGGAGGCAGCAGUGGGGAAUAUUGCGCAACGGGGGAAACCCUGACGCAGCCAUGCCGCGUGUGUGAAGAAGGCCUUCGGGUUGUAAAGCACUUUCAGAGGGGAGGAAAGGGCGCUGGCUAAUAUCCAGCGCAGUUGACGCUACCCUCAGAAGAAGCACCGGCUAAUUCCGUGCCAGCAGCCGCGGUAAUACGGAAGGUGCAAGCGUUAAUCGGAAUUACUGGGCGUAAAGCGCGCGUAGGCGGCUUGGUAAGUCGGAUGUGAAAGCCCCGGGCUCAACCUGGGAACUGCAUUCGAUACUGCUGGGCUGGAGUACGAGAGAGGGGGGUGGAAUUCCAGGUGUAGCGGUGAAAUGCGUAGAGAUCUGGAGGAACACYAGUGGCGAAGGCGGCCCCCUGGUUCGAUACUGACGCUGAGGUGCGAAAGCGUGGGGAGCAAACAGGAUUAGAUACYCUGGUAGUCCACGCCGUAAACGAUGUCUGCUAGCCGUGGGGAUCCUUGAGGUCUCGGUGGCGCAGCUAACGCGAUAAGCAGACCGCCUGGGGAGUACGGCCGCAACGUUAAAACUCAAAUGAAUUGACGGGGGCCCGCACAGCGGURGAGCAUGGUGGAUUUAUUCGAUGCACGCGAGRACCUUACCAGGUCUUGACAUCCAGCGAACUGCCCAGAGAUGGGCGGGUGCCUUCGGGAGCSCUGAAACAGUGCUGCAUGCUGUCGUCAGCUCGKGUCUGGAAAUGUUGAUUAGGUCCGUUACGAGGCUACUUGCCUAGUGGCUUMCGAUCGCCGGACCCUYAGGGAAACUGCGGKAMAAAACCCGGA
This 1146-nucleotide ribosomal RNA is filed under the name uncultured bacterium. RNAcentral's name for it is "bacterial SSU rRNA". It matches the Rfam family "Bacterial small subunit ribosomal RNA", at positions 8 to 1167 of the family's 1533-position model. The record is from RNAcentral.